This 440-nucleotide ribosomal RNA is filed under the name uncultured bacterium. RNAcentral's name for it is "partial 16S ribosomal RNA". It matches the Rfam family "Bacterial small subunit ribosomal RNA", at positions 338 to 795 of the family's 1533-position model. The record is from RNAcentral.
CCUACGGGAGGCAGCAGUGGGGAAUAUUGCACAAUGGGGGAAACCCUGAUGCAGCGACGCCGCGUGAGUGAAGAAGUAAUUCGUUAUGUAAAGCCCUAUCAGCAGGGAAGAAAAUGACGGUACCUGAGUAAGAAGCCCCGGCUAACUCCGUGCCAGCAGCCGCGGUAAUACGUAGGGGGCAAGCGUUAUCCGGAUUUACUGGGUGUAAGGGGAGCGUAGGCGGCUGUGCAAGUCCGGAGGGAAAGGCGGGGGCUCAACCCCCGGACUGCUCUGGAAACUGUGCGGCUGGAGUGCAGGAGAGGUAAGUGGAAUGCCUGGUGUAGCGGUGAAAUGCGUAGAUAUUAGGAGGAACACCAGUGGCGAAGGCGGCUUACUGGACUGUAACUGACGUUGAGGCUCGAAAGCGUGGGGAGCAAACAGGAUUAGAUACCCUUGUAGUC